GAGCAAUGUUGGGGACAGUUGGAUACAUGGUGGGGGGAAUAUGAAGAGAUUCACUGAAUCUCAAGCAGCAAGAUUUGAGAUAGUCUGAAGGGGAGAGCAGCAGCCACAGUGGGGUGGGGACAACAGCUGGCAUCCAGAGGUGGGCAGAGAGAGCUAAUGGUUUAUGGGAUAGCAAUCUCUUAAAGCUAAAAGCACUGAAAGAAGAAACAGAGGGAGAGAAGAUUUUAUUAAGAGGGAGAACUGAGGCCAGAGUGUUGGAAGUUGCUGGUUAACCUGAAGAAACAGCUAGUCGCUGGUCAGAGAUAAGAGUACUAAGAAUUGAAGUGUGUGGGGGAGAGAAACCUGACCAUGAAGAAUACUUCUGUAAAGUUCUAUGUGAUUUAACAGGGGUGUAUAUAAAAAAGUUCAUUGUCCAAUGGUUUAGUACAGAGCUGGGAACUAGAGCAAGUCUCUAAAUAACCUCAUUUAACCUCUUUAAAACAACAGCAACAUCUUUAAGCUAUUAUCAAGCUAUGCGUUGUUAUAAAACCAAUUUGCAAAUAACCCUUAUUCCAUCAAUUUAAGUAAGCGUUAAGAAAUUAUAAUAUUUUGGUUUGAUUUCCAAAAAAUAAUAAUAGUUUCCUGGUCCCUUUGUCCAAAGCCUAUACUCAGCUGUCAUAUGCAAUAAAAGGAUAACAAAGGCAUUUUUUUUUAAUGGUGGCAGUAGGAAUAUAAUAGCCCCAAGGAACGGUCUUCUCCUAACUAUUGUAUUAGUGGUGUUUUGUGUUGUAUUGUUGUACAUCACUCUGAUUUUUUAUAUAUAUGGUGGUAUAGAACUGCUUAAAUAAAUAAAUAAGGAGUAGGUGAAUACAGUGGUACCUCUGGAUGCGAAUGGGAUCCGUUCCGGAGCCCCGUUCGCAUCCUGAAGCGAAUGCAACCCGUGUCUGCGCGUGCGUGGGUUGCGAUUUGCAGCUUCUGCGCAUGCGCGUGAUGUCAUUUUGAGCAUCUGUGCAUGCGCGAGUGGCAAAACCCAGAUGUAACGCGCUCUGUUACUUCCGGGUCACCGUGGAGCGUAACCUGAAAACGCUCAACCUGAAGCACAUUUAACCCGAGGUAUGACUGUAUUCCAGUUUUAGUCUCUCUCUCUCUCUCUCUCUCUCUCUCUCUCUCUCUCAUUCUCUCAUUUUUCCAGUCUGAAAUUCAAUUCUCUACAUUUUGCAAUUUCCCGUUUCAGAAUCUCAUAUGAGAGAAUGAGUACCUGAAGAUGUCUGUGUGGCCUGAAAUAAUUCACGGCUACCCUAGUAUGCCUAAGAUAGACCAACAUUUGCUUGGCCCUGAAGGAACAUGUUUCAUAUUCCUAGAGAAGUGCUUCAGUUUCCUUCCUUGAAAAAUUCCAGAGCAGGCUAAAGAACAUUGCACUAAUCUAACCCCAUUUAUUAAAAUGAAAGCAUCAUUCAGUUGAUUCUGAGCAUUGAAUGGACGACU
Non-coding RNA from Podarcis lilfordi (Lilford's wall lizard), 1464 nucleotides. Lineage: Eukaryota; Metazoa; Chordata; Lepidosauria; Squamata; Lacertidae. The record is from the annotation of a GenBank genome assembly.